GACAUGUUAUGGCUCUUUGUUGUCAUCUUGUUGAUACAAUCUGUUUUUCUUUAGCCAUUGUGUCACAUACUGUAACAUUUCAGAAGUGGUUCAUGUGUUGUCAGCACUAGAUAUGGGGGUUAUGUCAGAGCUUUUUUUAGUGUUUUCUACAAGCUGAAACAUUGAAAAGUGACAUCUGCCAAUGAACAAAUGAUUUCAAACAAGUGUUGUUAUGUGGCCAAAUUUUGUUUGAGGAAUUCAGUUCGAUUGUGCUCCAUCUGCAAACAUAAUUUAAAAAUGUCUCUAUUUCUCGCUGUAAAUUCACCAUAUGAUUAUGGCAUCUUAUUUGUAUUUCCAAAUAGGAAUUGUUAAAAGAUUGGAAUGCCUUAUCGGACACAUGGAAUUGAUCCAGCACACCUUUAGAAUGGUCAUCUUCUGAUGGUUCCCCGAUUCUCCUCUGGCUCCUCUGAAAAUAUUACUGUCACAAAGUGCCUGAAAAAACCUACUCUUCAACAUCCACUGUAGUUGCUGGUGAUCCCAGAUUCAUCUGUUAGGCAUUCCAUUAAAGCCAAAGCCAGAAGUGGGCUCCGGUUACCUACGAAUGCAGAAGAUUUGGAU
This is a long non-coding RNA of Xenopus laevis (African clawed frog), 597 nucleotides long. RefSeq lists it as uncharacterized. The transcript is spliced from 3 exons. Lineage: Eukaryota; Metazoa; Chordata; Amphibia; Anura; Pipidae. The record is from RefSeq and is a predicted model, not a curated record.